AUUGAACGCUGGCGGCAUGCCUUACACAUGCAAGUCGAACGGCAGCACGGGGCAACCUGGUGGCGAGUGGCGAACGGGUGAGUAAUGCAUCGGAACGUGCCAUUGAGUGGGGGGAUAACGUAGCGAAAGUUGCGCUAAUACCGCAUAUUCUGUGAGCAGGAAAGCAGGGGACCGCAAGGUCUUGCGCUCUUUGAGCGGCCGAUGUCAGAUUAGCUAGUUGGUGCGGUAACGGCUUACCAAGGCGACGAUCUGUAGCGGGUCUGAGAGGAUGAUCCGCCACACUGGAACUGAGACACGGUCCAGACUCCUACGGGAGGCAGCAGUGGGGAAUUUUGGACAAUGGGCGCAAGCCUGAUCCAGCCAUGCCGCGUGAGUGAAGAAGGCCUCGGUUGUAAG
RNAcentral lists this ribosomal RNA (396 nucleotides) under uncultured bacterium. Its description in RNAcentral is "bacterial SSU rRNA". It matches the Rfam family "Bacterial small subunit ribosomal RNA", at positions 30 to 429 of the family's 1533-position model. The record is from RNAcentral.